This is a long non-coding RNA of Ictalurus punctatus (channel catfish), 1819 nucleotides long. Lineage: Eukaryota; Metazoa; Chordata; Actinopteri; Siluriformes; Ictaluridae. The record is from Ensembl.
GUUAAUACCAACACAAACGAGUAUACAUUUCUACGAAGCGGAGGACUCGACCUUCUUGUCCACCCGGCAACUAUCAAUAAAAAAAAGAUUAACCCGGGUACUUAAUCUUGUCUCGGGCACCGAGGCUACCGAUUUGUCCACCCCAUGCUCUAUAUUUUUGAUAUUAAUCUUCUUAGAUUUCGAAGCUGUUCACCUACAGUAUGCGAAACACUCGCGGAUGGACAUCGGUGACGUCUAACAAUCGGCGUAAUCGCAGGGUUAAACGUCAAGGGCGAAAGACUGUUCACAUUUCCUUCACGUGCCUCCGUGUGCUACGCCAUACGUCCAUACGGUAUGACUGACUUCUGCGUUCGCGCUCGCACAGCUUUAGCAUGGUGCCGUGUCGAGAAGCACAAUCAAGUCAAUGAACGGACUCGGAGGAGUACUCCAGGUUUACAACAGAUAAGAUCUACACGUUUCCUUGGGCUUGCUCACAGAACGCUCUUACAUAUAACGAUAGCAUAAAGGACGCUCGUUCGACAGUUAUACCGUAUAAGACGUCGUCUUCUGGAGUUUUAUCCGGCUUUCAGUACUAAUCACCGUCAGAUCCACCGUCGAAGCUCCGUCACGGUUUGAGUAACUGACUGACUGCAGAGAGUCGGAAAUAUUUGGAAUAGUUUUUAAUAUCCGGACUUCGAUCGGUGAACGUGUGUUUUUUUUUUGUUUUUUUUCAGUACAGAGAAACGUAUCGACGUUCCCGUGACGUUCUUUACCGCUACGGAUGGGAUAGAUAAAGACGAGGUCGGACAAACGUGGCGUAUUCCUUCGAUUCCAAACAAAAAAUCCUACAUGCUGUUACACCGUGAUCGUCGUUUGCACUUACCUUAAACUGCUUUCACACUUUUAUUCAUGUUUUUUUUUUUUUAAAACCACCAGUGCACAUAUUACAUGUAACCCUACAGUAUGUUAAGCAGUCUCUUUCUUUAAAAGCACAGUGGAGCCUUCUUGGCUGUGUCGGGCUUCGAUCUCAUGACCUUACGGUAGCCACCGCUGCCACUUUUUUGACCAAUCGGGUCACAGGAUGGAGGGCACAUGAGGAAAAACGAACACGGAGUACGAAGCUCCGGGCUUAUUAGGGAGCGAAUAUGUCGGAUGAGAAGAUUUCCAGCGUUUGAGUGUAAUAAUAAAAAGAAAACGAUACGUCGCACAAGCAGCUCGAACGCUCUUGAUUUUCCUCCUCCGCGUUUAAAACAAAGGCAGACGACCUCCUCGUGGCCAGGCCUGCACCGCUCUUUAUUUCAUCUGCAUUAUUAAGACGAGAACAAAACCUAAGGCUGGUUCGAGAGCCGAUACUAGCCACGGUGCGUACGCCAUGUCUCAUACCGCUUUUAAAACGGAGCAUGAGCGCACCACGAAAUGUUAACAAGCGCUUCUUCCAGUUUUUUUUGUGUUUUGUUUUGUUUCCCCCCCCCCCAGGUAUUUCAGAUCAGUUGGACGUAGCCGUUAGGGACCAGCGUUCGAGAUAAUAAACCGCACAAUCAACCAUGAUACGCAAUCUCACGCUCAUUGUGUAGGUGAUUUCCUUCAGGAUUGGACUCAUUUUAUUCCCCGGACAAGUAUGUAUCGUGUUGGACUCGUGCCGUUAGUGUCUAGCGCUGAAUAAUAAUCACAAUAAACACGUAGUCGGCCAUGAAAGUGUUCAUCAGCCUCCAUUAUGCUGUAUUUAUGAAACGGAAAUGACCUUGUGGUGGUGUUUUCACACGGCGUCCUCCUGUUCCACCUUCAUCUUAUUACUGUUCCUCUUCCUGUAUUUUCAAAUUCUGUAAAAGGUAUGUUCGUG